CCCGCUGAACUUAAGCAUAUCAAUAAGCGGAGGAAAAGAAACUAACAAGGAUUCCCCUAGUAACUGCGAGUGAAGCGGGAAAAGCUCAAAUUUAAAAUCUGGCGGUCCUUGUGGCUGUCCGAGUUGUAAUUUAGAGAAGUGUUAUCCGCGCUGGACCGUGUACAAGUCUCCUGGAAUGGAGCGUCAUAGAGGGUGAGAAUCCCGUCUUUGACACGGACUGCCAGGGCAUUGUGAUACGCUUUCAAAGAGUCGAGUUGUUUGGGAAUGCAGCUCAAAAUGGGUGGUAAAUUCCAUCUAAAGCUAAAUAUUGGGGAGAGACCGAUAGCGAACAAGUACCGUGAGGGAAAGAUGAAAAGAACUUUGGAAAGAGAGUUAAACAGUACGUGAAAUUGCUGAAAGGGAAACGCUUGAAGUCAGUCGCGUCGCUCAGGACUCAGCCUUGCUUUUGCUUGGUGUACUUCCUGUUCGAUGGGUCAGCAUCAAUUUUGGUCGGUGGAUAAAGGCUCAGAGAAUGUGGCAUCUUCGGGUGUGUUAUAGCUCUGGGUUGUAUACAUCGGCUGGGAUUGAGGAACUCAGCACGCCGCAAGGCCGGGUACCUGUACCACGUACGUGCUUAGGAUGCUGGCAUAAUGGCUUUAAUCGACCCGUCUUGAAACACGG
Molecule: ribosomal RNA, 660 nt
Filed under: uncultured fungus
Lineage: Eukaryota; Fungi
Description: eukaryotic LSU rRNA
Rfam family: Eukaryotic large subunit ribosomal RNA
Source: RNAcentral